RNAcentral lists this long non-coding RNA (686 nucleotides) under Olea europaea subsp. europaea. Lineage: Eukaryota; Viridiplantae; Streptophyta; Magnoliopsida; Lamiales; Oleaceae. The record is from RNAcentral.
AAAAAAUCCAUCCCAAUCCUAUCGAUUAUUCUUAACCCAUGAAGAGAAAAGUAUAACUCCUUGGAGAAGGCGAAAAGAGUACCUUGUAGACGGGCCCAAAGCCACCUUGGCCCAGCCGGUUCAUUUCGGAGAAGAAAUUGGUGGCAAUUUGCAGCUUCUGGAGACUGAAAAACAAGUCGCAAGAUUCUUCUGUGCCAUCGUCCGCGGCGUCGUCUCCGUUUGUGGCCCUCAGGCGCCGCCGCAAACAGCUGUACAUGUCGGAAAAUAGUCGCAUGGAGGCAUCAAACAGACUGACAGAAAUGAAUUCUCUAAUAUUGGGCUUUCUACUGAAAUUUUAGCCCAAUUACAUGAACAUUCACCGGUAUAUAUUCGCUAUUCUCUGGAUUUUACUGCAGCUUUGUACCAACAGGUGGGCUACUCCAAAUUGACAAAAAAAAAAAAGGGCAAAUUCAACUGGAAAAAGGCGUUGACAACGAAGUUGCUAUUCAAUUUACAAUUUGGGGCAGUUCCGGUCCAUCUUUUCUUUUAAUUUUCCUUGGUCAAAGUACCGUCCAAGGUGUCCGGCCGUAUAAAAUUAAAUGUGUUUGAAUUUGUUGGAGUGAAAUGAGAAUCAGAUAACGAAAAUUUCAACAGUUUUUUUCAAGGUGGUUGAGGGACGAUGAAGUGCUAGUCGUUGAUCAUGUUUA